UGGUGGAGUGAUUUGUCUGGUUAAUUCCGUUAACGAACGAGACCUCAGCCUACUAAAUAGUUACGUGAAUCUUAGGAUUCACGGGUAACUUCUUAGAGGGACAAUUUGUAUAGAGCGAAUGGAAGUUUGAGGCAAUAACA
RNAcentral lists this ribosomal RNA (140 nucleotides) under uncultured eukaryote. Its description in RNAcentral is "partial 18S ribosomal RNA". It matches the Rfam family "Eukaryotic small subunit ribosomal RNA", at positions 1299 to 1458 of the family's 1831-position model. The record is from RNAcentral.